Molecule: ribosomal RNA, 301 nt
Filed under: uncultured bacterium
Lineage: Bacteria
Description: partial 16S ribosomal RNA
Rfam family: Archaeal small subunit ribosomal RNA
Source: RNAcentral
CAGUCGCCACGGUAACACCAGCAGCCCAAGUGGUGGUCGCGAUUAUUGGGCCUAAAGCGCUCGUAGCCGGGCCGGUAAGUCCCUUGUGAAAUCGGACGGCCUAACCGUUCGGCGUGCAAGGGAUACUGUCGGUCUUGAGGCCGGGAGACGUCCGAGGUACUCCGGGGGUAGCGGUGAAAUGUUCUGAUCCUCGGGGGACCACCGGUGGCGAAGGCGUUCGACGAGAACGGGCCUGACGGUGAGGGGCGAAGGCUAGGGGAGCAAACAGGAUUAGAUACCCCGGUAGUCCCUGUCUCUUAUA